UAUUUUCUAUUGCAAAAAUCAAAAAGAAAACAAAAACCUUGUUUAUAGAGUUACAAAGAGGAAAAUACAGUGGCUAUCUAGCCAUUUAAAUGAUCCGGCAUAUGUGGCUGUAAAUUACAGUCUAAAGAAUAAAUAAUGAAAAACUUGGUUUGGCUUUAAAAAAGAACUAAUUAAAAAUAGCGUAUCAAACUGUUUAAGUAAGUAUUACUGGGCAUAAUGAGCUGCAGUUACUUACUCUAAAGAGUGAUUACCUUCAAGUAGCUUUGAAACAAACUGCAAAUGAAUGCAAUUAUAUAUCUAUCAAAGCUGCACAUCUGUAAUGUAAAUCCAGCCUUAUAGGGCAGGGAAAAGGAAAAAAAGAAGGUAUGUCAAAACCCCACCAAUUCUCCCAGGAGAGGAGAAGCUGAGACCAGAAACUGGGGCACAAGAGUGAUGCUAACAAUUCCUGAUGCACUGGAAUGGUUCUGGAACCCUUCCCAAUGCCAUGGAUCUCAGCACAAGGAAACAAGAGCUAAACCUAGAGAGCAGUGGGUGUGGGAGACUGUCAGGUAACACCUGCUGCCUUGGGGAAACUACAGAUCUCGUGGGAAUUCUCUUUGCUGAUUUUUACAGAGAUGUCACCUGCAGUGGGAGUUCAAAAAACAGCAGCUACCACCUCAAUACAGCUCAGCAGAAAAAACAAACCCAUGGUUCUCUGAGGCUUUUUCUGUUUCCUUUCCAGAGCUGGGCUUGUGGUCUGACAAAGCACCUGGUUCUGAACAGCUCAAGCUCUAAUGUACAUAUCAGCUUGACAACAACAAGUAACCCUGUAACCUAGCACACAUCUGAGUCACAGGAUUAGGAUCCCUAAAGAGAAAAGAACAAAAUCUCUGAUCCCAAGGGCUAGGUGAGGAUUAAUCUUACACCAGUAAGUCAAUCUCUUAGAGUCAUAAGUCACUGUCUUAAUUAAAUGUGUUCUUGUUUACUACUAUCUUGGUUUAACACCUGCAUAUAGGUUGGUUGGUUUAUAAUUCUGAGUUUCUCAGAUACAGAUUUUUAAAAUUUUUAUGAAUGCCAAUACACUCACUCCAGUAUUUGAUUAAUUAUGUUAGAAUUAUAUAACAAUUGAGAGAAAAAUAAGAUAAUACAAAGAUACAUGUAUUAAGGUGUAAUUUAUAUUUUAAGGAAACACUUUUACAGAACAAGGUCAAGACUAAACUCAGUUUUGCAUCGCAAAUCUCCUGUAAAGUCUCUCUUAAUUGCUUCCCUGAAAUAGAAGCAUCUUUAAUUCAAAUAAUUUAUUGUUUUCUCUCAUUUGCAUCUACCAUAAAGGUGAUUUAGCUUUAAUUCUAUGCCCCCACACUCCUUCCCUUCCCCUGUUCUUGGCUAUCUCUCCUCAACUAAUGACUAUUUUCUUUCCCCCUUGGACUCCAAAUUUUUUGGUAUACUGAUUAUUUGCAAACUAUUUUCAUUAUUUUUUUGUAAAUAUAUAUAUAUAUAAAACCUCUAUUCUAUGAGAUGUAUCUAUGUGUGUGUAUUAUCUACAGUAUUUUAAUUAUCUUGAUUCACUAACACAGUGUGAGAGUGCAAGUUAAAUUCUUGCACCGAGAACAAGAAAAUUUAAGCUUCACUCAAGGCUUAUAUCUUCAUCCUUUGGUCUUUUCCCUUUCUUCAUCUUGCCUUUCCAACUUCGCUGACCUCACUGUCCCAUUCUCAUUCCUCUCUGCUGCUCCUCUUGCAAAGGCUUUCAAAGUAAUGUGAAAAAACCUUCAGCAGUUCCAAUUACUAAACUAAGAGUGCCAUCAAGAUGUGCUUAUAUGACAGAUCAAAUCAACUGUUCAUGCACAGAAACUUCCUGAUUCCUUGUCCUCUCAAAAACUUUUAUAGAACAUAAAAUAAACAUGCUGUUCUUCCUUGGGCCAAUGUCAAACACAAAAUCCCACACAACCCAUGAGAAUUGUACUGUCAAAAUACUGGGGGGUUGGGGCUUUUUUGGGGGUAAAUCAGUAUUUAAAUAUUAUAAUAAAAUGGCAAUGUAUAAUUCAAAAGAAAAGAGACACUCAUGUUCCAUGACAGUGGGUUUAAACUGUGAAUUCCCAAGACACUGCUUAUGUAAUCAGUUGUAGCAAGCUACAGCAACUUUUUACAAUGUCAGUGCAGGCUUUGUUUUUCAAGAAAUUAGGUUUAUGUGAACAAGUCCUCAUGACUAACUUCUGACUCUCUUGCCAAGUACAGCUGAACAGGACAAGGGCAGGUUAAAUUCAAGCACUGCAAUUCUAAAAUUCGUGCAAAAAAAGAUGAUCAAUUACUAGGCUGACUGUGAGCUAACCCACACUGAUAGGCACAAAAGAAAUUAAACUUCCUGUUUAACUGCUCAAGCAGUUGUUCUGUAACGUGACACCACUUCUGAAGUAAGGACAGGUACUUACUGUACCACCCGAAACUCCCACCCUGGGAUUUCCUACUGAAGGCAGCACUACACACACAACAGACACCUCCAACGAUGAAAAGCUCCUUGUAAAGUACAAUACCUUAGCAAACCCAAACGAAUUCACAAUUUGCCCCCCAGCUCAAAGUACUGUUUCCCACAUAGUAAAAGUGAUUACACAGGAAACAGAAAUUCCAGAGGGCAACGCAGUCAGCUGUGACUUGUAUCCCCUGCAUCUCCUGUGCAGCUUUAAGCCUUGCAUCCUGCCUAAAAAUGCCUGGAGUUUAAGCCAUAAUGAGUAAAUACAAAGAUGUGGUGGCAGACAAGAGUUUCAGGCACCCGCCAAUAACAUCACAUGGAUUUUGCCAGUAACUUUCUGCGGGCUGGCUUCAGAUUGAAGCUGAAGUAGGUUCUGGCUGCCAGGAGAUCUGAAAACUUGCUGCGUAGUAUUUAAGUACUUAAAACUGCUUAAAUGAAUUUGUUCUACGGCACUGACAAAACAAUUCCUGUAGCCAUACCAAGUUCCUCUUUUGUAGGCUGAGAUGCCUAUAUCAAAGUUAGCAAAUAAAGGUUAAUAGAUCCAAAAAUUAACUUUCUGCUUCAUUACGAAUUUAAACACUGAAGUUUUGCUUUUGAUCUUCUUUACUGUGCAAGCCAGCUUGCAACCUACUUCUGAACUGUGUUAUUGAGAAUAAUUAUUAUUUUUUCCAACAUAAAUUACAUCUCAGAUAAUGAAAAAUGAAAUGUUCAGAACGUAACCAAUUAUGCUUUUAAUAAAAGAGAAAAAGCUGUUGUAUUUACUACUAUCAAAAAGAGAGAUAGUUUUCUAACAACUGCGUGCUGCGGCAUUACCAGUGAACUUAAAAACACGCAUUUACAUCCUUCCACUACUAAGCCAGAAUAGUGUGUGGAAAACAUCAGUUCCAGGAGCAGUCCCCUGUCUCAAACUGAUCCCAGGUUUUCAGAGAGAUUUCUAAAAGGCUGUAAGCAAACAAGAGGCACCUCAGAGGGAUUUACAAGCUCUCCCAUGUAUGUUUCGGGACACGCCACCUCCAAAGUGCUCCCCGAGAAGACUUUGCACCACUGUUCACCACCUCGAGAAAUACACUGAUAAUGAAAGCUCAGUUCUGCGUUUUGAGACAUUGGCUACUGCACAGCACGAAGUCAUGAGAAGGGCCAUGAAAUGCAGGGCUCGGCCUCCUGAGCACCGGCAGUGCUGGCACAGGAGCCGGCCCAGCCCCUUCCUCGGCCAACACCCGCGUAGCUCCCGGCUUUCACCGAGCCACACGAACUGCGGGCUCUGGCAGCUCCCAUCGCGGGCAGGUUUCGCACGGUGGCAGCCCCAGACCCCGCUGGUUACAGGUGGGCAGCUCCCGCCGCCCUCGCCCCGAGGGGCACGGCCACACGACGCGGGCACAGCAGCGUCCUGCCAGCCGGGCGCCGCUCACGCCCAGUGCCCAUUCACCGCUCUGCGCCCCAGCGAGCCCCGAGUUCCCAGCCCGCGGCUGCUCUCCCUGCCCGGGGGAGCCGCGCCCCAGGCUCCGGGCUCCGCCGGGGCGGGCGGCAGCGCCCCGGGAGCCGCAGGUGCCACCUGUUACACCCCGUCGCACUCACCAGGCACCACCUGCCCUCCCACACUGGCAGCACAGAGAGGCUGAACAGAGCAGCCACAGGCGAGCUCCCACCCGCGGCACCGGCCUCACGCAGACACUCCUGACCAAGGCGCUUCCUUAGGAACAGCAGUGUGGAAACGGGCACGCUGCAAGGGCACGUCUAGAGCAGGUGGUGGAAGGAGCUUUACUCCAGAGAUCAUUUCCACAGAACACUACAGAGCUUCUGAAUGGAAGGUUCUAAACGUUGUCUUAACAAAUAUUUACCCAAAGUGCACUUAACUCACAUUGAAAGCUUUCAAAUCCAUGACAGUGGUGAAUUUCCUUUAUUAGGGAGUUCAAAUACUCAACCCAUCUGUGCAUUACUUUCCAUUCUGCUCAAGGUACAUGUUCCCUUUUGUGUCUCAUUCCUGGGUAGGAUUUUUUUGCCUUUUUUCUUGGUUGGGUUUUUUUUGUAUAUGUGUUUGUUUGUUUGUUUUUAAGACAUAUCUAUCUGACUUAUUUUGCUUCACUGCAAACUUAAAGAACAAUUUAGUUGCACUCCUAGGAAUGCUUUUUAGUCUGAGAAGCAAAAAGCAUAAUGGACCAGAAAAGUCUGCAAUAAAUCUUCCUACUGGUUUCACAUGGAAGGCACUCAAUACUACAGUGAGGGAGGUGAUUAAAAAACAAAUAAAAAGGGGCGGGGGGAACACAAUGUGAAUUUAUGUGAAGGUAAGAAAGGUGUGUAUUAAAAUAACAUCUUCUACUGAACAAAUUUACUCAAUUUACUCAACAGAUUUAUUCAACAGAUUAGUAUUUUAAGUCAGAGCUGUUAAGAAAAAUAUGGCUUUGUUACCAUUGACUUUUCUCAGUACUGAAGAACCUUCACAGUUCAGUUGUGACAACUGGAAACUCUUGUCACUAUAGCCACUUUUUAAAAUAAAUGCAAAUAUUUGCAUUUAUUUAAAUGAUGUGAUGAUGUACCAGACAAAGUCACACCUUGUUCACAUCAGAUCCCAAGAUAUUUUUGAAGUAACUACAGGGAAAGCUCUUCACUGCCACAGCUUAGUUUUGUGGUAGCACUAAUAUUGAUUUAAAUUAACUAAACCGUCAUUUUUUAUCAUGGGGAGAAAUGUGCUGAGAUCUGAUGCAAAAUUUAAGCAGACAUGAAGCAUUUUUAGUAUGCAGUGUGGUCUAUUAUGAGCAUUUCCUUUAGUACUGCAGACAAAUUUGGUAAGUCUAUUUAACCUUAGGUUUCUAGAUUGCACUAACAUUAUCAUAUACACAGAAUAAACUGAUACUACAGAAUAUAUAUGCAUUUCAGUAAGAUUAAAAGAUAAGCAGGAAGACAAUUAAGUCUGGUCCUGAAUCAAUUAUCCACGUGGUAUUAAUUUUCGUUCCCACUAGAGGCCACUGCUACCCUGUACGGAGCCUCUCCUGGAACAGCAGAGGAGACACAGUCCCUUUGGCAUCUCUGCAUAUUUACCUGACAGGAGAAGCAGUGAGGCAAGUGCUCCCUCCUCCCCUGAUUAUUUGGCUGAAGAAGCAGCAAGAGAAGGUGUCAUGAGGGAAACAUCACACCUCCCAAAGAGCAGGUGGUAACAGAGAGAAGCAAGCAGACCUGGGACUCGAUCUCCAGAGGUCCAUCUCAACCCCAGCUAUUCUGUGGUUCUGCACAAGAAAACUGGGAAGAGGAAUCAUGAAUCUUGAGCUCUUGGGACAGGGGAACAGUUGUUAUCUCUGAGGCCAUCUCUGCUGGAUCCUGUUGUGAUAUGCCAUUCUCCAUAGCAUUCUCAGGGCACAGCUGGGCUUUGAACACUGUCCCACACCCUGCUGCAUACCAAAGGGUUUUUGCACUGCACCUCUCCUCCAGAACAUCAGAGAAUCUCAUUCCAUGAGCAAAGCCUACAGUCAAGCUUUGGCCACAUAUUUUUAAAGUAGUUCUAAAUACAAGUGUGAAUUUCCAUUUAACUUCA
Non-coding RNA from Taeniopygia guttata (zebra finch), 5972 nucleotides. The record is from RefSeq and is a predicted model, not a curated record. Lineage: Eukaryota; Metazoa; Chordata; Aves; Passeriformes; Estrildidae.